Molecule: transfer RNA, 63 nt
Filed under: Rattus norvegicus (Norway rat)
Lineage: Eukaryota; Metazoa; Chordata; Mammalia; Rodentia; Muridae
Rfam family: tRNA
About the family: Transfer RNA (tRNA) molecules are approximately 80 nucleotides in length. Their secondary structure includes four short double-helical elements and three loops (D, anti-codon, and T loops). Further hydrogen bonds mediate the characteristic L-shaped molecular structure. tRNAs have two regions of fundamental functional importance: the anti-codon, which is responsible for specific mRNA codon recognition, and the 3' end, to which the tRNAs corresponding amino acid is attached (by aminoacyl-tRNA synthetases). tRNAs cope with the degeneracy of the genetic code in two manners: having more than one tRNA (with a specific anti-codon) for a particular amino acid; and 'wobble' base-pairing, i.e. permitting non-standard base-pairing at the 3rd anti-codon position.
Source: Rfam by way of RNAcentral
GUGGUUGAGCGUUUAAGAACACUGCUUUUGCAGAGGUCCUGAGUUCAAUUCCCAGCAACCACA